GUCCCCGUAGCUCAGUUGGAUAGAGCGGCGGAUUCCUAAACCGCAGGUCGCGUGUUCGAAUCACGCCGGGGAUACCA
Molecule: transfer RNA, 77 nt
Filed under: Planctomycetota bacterium
Lineage: Bacteria; Pseudomonadati; Planctomycetota
Description: Planctomycetes bacterium (anaerobic digester metagenome) tRNA-Arg
Rfam family: tRNA
About the family: Transfer RNA (tRNA) molecules are approximately 80 nucleotides in length.
Source: RNAcentral